Molecule: unclassified non-coding RNA, 519 nt
Filed under: Hevea brasiliensis (rubber tree)
Lineage: Eukaryota; Viridiplantae; Streptophyta; Magnoliopsida; Malpighiales; Euphorbiaceae
Source: RNAcentral
AGAAAAUCACAAGAAAUGUUAUGAUCCUUCACCAACGUUUCCUCGCUGUUCGUGUGUACCAAGGAAUGCCUUCGUUUAUUAUGGUGGGGUUUUGUGGAGAGUAGGGGAGGGAGAUUGUAUCACAGGGUAAGUUGUUAUCCUUGUAGAACGCAUUUGAAAUUCUCACUCCGAUCUCUUCAUUUACCUUUUCCUUCGAAUGGUCAUUGUUAUAUCUCCAGAACAGUUCUGUACUGCAAGACAUUUUGGCUAGUGUUCAUCCCAAGUGGUGUUGUGCGUCCAUAUUUCAUGUUUUUAGGUCGGUGAUGUCACUUUGAAUUUUGUUUAAUGUUAUGUUUUUGGCCAUUGAGGGUUAUAGCACGGAGUGACUUUGGUCAUGUCUUGCCGAGAAGAAGAUUUUGGCUGUGGAGGGGUGUGGUUGCUUGUGUUUGUGCUCAAUCAAGUGCUUCGUUUUUCCACAUUUCCACUCCCCAGAUGUCGUUGCGUAUUACUCAUGUUCCAGAAAUUAUAUAUAAAAUUAAU